UCCCAGUGGCUCAGCUGGUAAAGAAUCUGCCUUCAGUGCAGGAGACCUGGGUUCGAUCCCUGGGUUGGGAA
RNAcentral lists this transfer RNA (71 nucleotides) under Bos taurus (domestic cattle). It matches the Rfam family "tRNA". Rfam says of the family: Transfer RNA (tRNA) molecules are approximately 80 nucleotides in length. Their secondary structure includes four short double-helical elements and three loops (D, anti-codon, and T loops). Further hydrogen bonds mediate the characteristic L-shaped molecular structure. tRNAs have two regions of fundamental functional importance: the anti-codon, which is responsible for specific mRNA codon recognition, and the 3' end, to which the tRNAs corresponding amino acid is attached (by aminoacyl-tRNA synthetases). tRNAs cope with the degeneracy of the genetic code in two manners: having more than one tRNA (with a specific anti-codon) for a particular amino acid; and 'wobble' base-pairing, i.e. permitting non-standard base-pairing at the 3rd anti-codon position. The record is from Rfam by way of RNAcentral. RNAcentral also lists the same sequence under 2 other names. Lineage: Eukaryota; Metazoa; Chordata; Mammalia; Artiodactyla; Bovidae.